RNAcentral lists this ribosomal RNA (373 nucleotides) under Bacillus nakamurai. Its description in RNAcentral is "bacterial SSU rRNA". It matches the Rfam family "Bacterial small subunit ribosomal RNA", at positions 657 to 1028 of the family's 1533-position model. Lineage: Bacteria; Bacillati; Bacillota; Bacilli; Caryophanales; Bacillaceae. The record is from RNAcentral.
GAGAGUGGAAUUCCACGUGUAGCGGUGAAAUGCGUAGAGAUGUGGAGGAACACCAGUGGCGAAGGCGACUCUCUGGUCUGUAACCGACGCUGAGGAGCGAAAGCGUGGGGAGCGAACAGGAUUAGAUACCCUGGUAGUCCACGCCGUAAACGAUGAGUGCUAAGUGUUAGGGGGUUUCCGCCCCUUAGUGCUGCAGCUAACGCAUUAAGCACUCCGCCUGGGGAGUACGGUCGCAAGACUGAAACUCAAAGGAAUUGACGGGGGCCCGCACAAGCGGUGGAGCAUGUGGUUUAAUUCGAAGCAACGCGAAGAACCUUACCAGGUCUUGACAUCCUCUGACAAUCCUAGAGAUAGGACGUCCCCUUCGGGGGCA